GAUGAACGCUGGCGGCGUGCCUAAUACAUGCAAGUCGAGCGAACGGACGAGAAGCUUGCUUCUCUGAUGUUAGCGGCGGACGGGUGGGUAACACGUGGAUAACCUACCUAUAAGACUGGGAUAACUUCGGGAAACCGGAGCUAAUACCGGAUAAUAUUUUGAACCGCAUGGUUCAAAAGUGAAAGACGGUCUUGCUGUCACUUAUAGAUGGAUCCGCGCUGCGUUAGCUAGUUGGUAAGGUAACGGCUUACCAAGGCAACGAUGCAUAGCCGACCUGAGAGGGUGAUCGGCCACACUGGAACUGAGACACGGUCCAGACUCCUACGGGAGGCAGCAGUAGGGAAUCCUCCGCAAUGGGCGAAAGCCUGACGGAGCAACGCCGCGUGAGUGAUGAAGGUCUUCGGAUCGUAAAACUCUGUUAUUAGGGAAGAACAUAUGUGUAAGUAACUGUGCACAUCUUGACGGUACCUAAUCAGAAAGCCACGGCUAACUACGUG
RNAcentral lists this ribosomal RNA (497 nucleotides) under uncultured bacterium. RNAcentral describes it as "partial 16S ribosomal RNA". It matches the Rfam family "Bacterial small subunit ribosomal RNA", at positions 28 to 507 of the family's 1533-position model. The record is from RNAcentral.